Long non-coding RNA from Haliotis rubra (blacklip abalone), 317 nucleotides. RefSeq lists it as uncharacterized. The record is from RefSeq and is a predicted model, not a curated record. NCBI's taxonomy places the organism in Eukaryota, Metazoa, Mollusca, Gastropoda, Lepetellida, Haliotidae. The transcript is spliced from 2 exons.
UAGUCGUACACUGCCAACAUACUCGGAACUGUGGCUCAUAUCCACUGGCUUGUAGGUCAGGACUCGAUCGUAUACGUGCCACUGUCAUAACACUCGAACACAGGCUGGCAGUUAACAACUACCAUCAAACUGUGUACGAUGUGUGGCCCCCACUGAAGGUGUGGACCAGGAUGAGGCUGUGGCCGACUUCCUACUGGUGAAGGUUGUACAUGUUGAUAGCUGUAGUCGACUCUGGUGAUCAGAUGUAUAUUUUGAAGUUCAUCCCUAACAACAACACUGAAGUGCAAUCUCAUGGUAAAUAAAAUUUGUACAAAUGA